UUGGGAAUCUUGGACAAUGGGGGAAACCCUGAUCCAGCCAUGCCGCGUGAGCGAUGAAGGCCUUCGGGUUGUAAAGCUCUUUCGCCAGGGACGAUAAUGACGGUACCUGGAUAAGAAGCCCCGGCUAACUUCGUGCCAGCAGCCGCGGUAAUACGAAGGGGGCUAGCGUUGUUCGGAAUUACUGGGCGUAAAGCGCGCGCAGGCGGCUUUUCAAGUCAGGGGUGAAAGCCCGGAGCUCAACUCCGGAACUGCCUUUGAAACUGUAGAGCUUGAGUACGGGAGAGGUGAGUGGAAUUCCCAGUGUAGAGGUGAAAUUCGUAGAUAUUGGGAAGAACACCGGUGGCGAAGGCGGCUCACUGGCCCGUUACUGACGCUCAGGCGCGACAGCGUGGGGAUCAAACAGGAUUAGAUACCCGCGUAGUCC
Molecule: ribosomal RNA, 424 nt
Filed under: uncultured bacterium
Lineage: Bacteria
Description: bacterial SSU rRNA
Rfam family: Bacterial small subunit ribosomal RNA
Source: RNAcentral